This 495-nucleotide ribosomal RNA is filed under the name uncultured bacterium. RNAcentral's name for it is "partial 16S ribosomal RNA". It matches the Rfam family "Bacterial small subunit ribosomal RNA", at positions 28 to 507 of the family's 1533-position model. The record is from RNAcentral.
GACGAACGCUGGCGGCGUGCCUAAUACAUGCAAGUAGAACGCUGAAGGAGGAGCUUGCUUCUCCGGAUGAGUUGCGAACGGGUGAGUAACGCGUAGGUAACCUGCCUGGUAGCGGGGGAUAACUAUUGGAAACGAUAGCUAAUACCGCAUAAGAGUAGAUGUUGCAUGACAUUUGCUUAAAAGGUGCAAUUGCAUCACUACCAGAUGGACCUGCGUUGUAUUAGCUAGUUGGUGGGGUAACGGCUCACCAAGGCGACGAUACAUAGCCGACCUGAGAGGGUGAUCGGCCACACUGGGACUGAGACACGGCCCAGACUCCUACGGGAGGCAGCAGUAGGGAAUCUUCGGCAAUAGACGGAAGUCUGACCGAGCAACGCCGCGUGAGUGAAGAAGGUUUUCGGAUCGUAAAGCUCUGUUGUAAGAGAAGAACGAGUGUGAGAGUGGAAAGUUCACACUGUGACGGUAUCUUACCAGAAAGGGACGGCUAACUACGUG